RNAcentral lists this ribosomal RNA (253 nucleotides) under uncultured bacterium. RNAcentral describes it as "partial 16S ribosomal RNA". It matches the Rfam family "Bacterial small subunit ribosomal RNA", at positions 524 to 776 of the family's 1533-position model. The record is from RNAcentral.
GACGAACCGAGCAAGCGUUAUUCGGAAUCACUGGGCUUAAAGAGUCCGUAGGCGGCGCGUUAGGUGGGGUGUGAAAUCCCUCGGCCCAACCGAGGAAUGGCGCUCCAAACCGGCGUGCUUGAGGAAGGUAGAGGUGAGCGGAACUGAUGGUGGAGCGGUGAAAUGCGUUGAUAUCAUCAGGAACACCGGAGGCGAAGGCGGCUCACUGGGCCUUUUCUGACGCUGAGGGACGAAAGCCAGGGUAGCGAACGGG